CAGUCGCCGCGGGAACACGGAGGGGGCUAGCGUUGUUCGGAAUUACUGGGCGUAAAGCGCACGUAGGCGGCUUGGUAAGUUAGAGGUGAAAGCCCGGAGCUCAACUCCGGAAUUGCCUUUAAGACUGCCGAGCUAGUAGGUGAGAGAGGUAAGUGGAGUUCCGAGUGUAGAGGUGAAAUUCGUAGAUAUUCGGAAGAACACCAGUGGCGAAGGCGGCUUACUGGCUCAUUCUAGACGCUGAGGUGCGAAAGCGUGGGGAGCAAACAGGAUUAGAUACCCCAGUAGUCCCUGUCUCUUAUAC
Molecule: ribosomal RNA, 301 nt
Filed under: uncultured bacterium
Lineage: Bacteria
Description: partial 16S ribosomal RNA
Rfam family: Bacterial small subunit ribosomal RNA
Source: RNAcentral